UACGUAUGGUGCAAGCGUUAUCCGGAUUUACUGGGUGUAAAGGGAGCGUAGACGGUUGUGUAAGUCUGAUGUGAAAGCCCGGGGCUCAACCUCGGGACUGCAUUGGAAACUAUGUAACUAGAGUGUCGGAGAGGUAAGCGGAAUUCCUAGUGUAGCGGUGAAAUGCGUAGAUAUUAGGAGGAACACCAGUGGCGAAGGCGGCUUACUGGACGAUCACUGACGUUGAGGCUCGAAAGCGUGGGGAGCAAACAGG
This 253-nucleotide ribosomal RNA is filed under the name [Clostridium] nexile DSM 1787. Its description in RNAcentral is "Tyzzerella nexilis DSM 1787 partial 16S ribosomal RNA". It matches the Rfam family "Bacterial small subunit ribosomal RNA", at positions 524 to 776 of the family's 1533-position model. The record is from RNAcentral. Lineage: Bacteria; Bacillati; Bacillota; Clostridia; Lachnospirales; Lachnospiraceae.